Molecule: ribosomal RNA, 621 nt
Filed under: uncultured bacterium
Lineage: Bacteria
Description: bacterial SSU rRNA
Rfam family: Bacterial small subunit ribosomal RNA
Source: RNAcentral
AACAGGAUUAGAUAGCCUGGUAGUCCACGCCGUAAACGAUGAGUGCUAGGUGUUAGGCCCUUUCCGAGGCUUAGUGCCGCAGCUAACGCAUUAAGCACUCCGCCUGGGGAGUACGACCGCAAGGUUGAAACUCAAAGGAAUUGACGGGGGCCCGCACAAGCGGUGGAGCAUGUGGUUUAAUUCGAAGCAACGCGAAGAACCUUACCAGGUCUUGACAUCCCGAUGCUAUUCCUAGAGAUAGGAAGUUUCUUCGGAACAUCGGUGACAGGUGGUGCAUGGUUGUCGUCAGCUCGUGUCGUGAGAUGUUGGAUUAAGUCCCGCAACGAGCGCAACCCCUAUUGUUAGUUGCCAUCAUUAAGUUGGGCACUCUAGCGAGACUGCCGGUAAUAAACCGGAGGAAGGUGGGGAUGACGUCAAAUCAUCAUGCCCCUUAUGACCUGGGCUACACACGUGCUACAAUGGUUGGUACAACGAGUCGCGAGUCGGUGACGGCAAGCAAAUCUCUUAAAGCCAAUCUCAGUUCGGAUUGUAGGCUGCAACUCGCCUACAUGAAGUCGGAAUCGCUAGUAAUCGCGGAUCAGCACGCCGCGGUGAAUACGUUCCCGGGUCUUGUACACACCG